Molecule: ribosomal RNA, 504 nt
Filed under: uncultured bacterium
Lineage: Bacteria
Description: bacterial SSU rRNA
Rfam family: Bacterial small subunit ribosomal RNA
Source: RNAcentral
AGAGUUUGAUCAUGGCUACGAGGACGAACGCUGGCGGCGUGCUUAACACAUGCAAGUCGAACGAAGUGCUACCAAAUGAGAUUUCGGUCAAAUGAAGUAGCAUCUUAGUGGCGGACGGGUGAGUAACGCGUGAGUAACCUGCCUUUCAGAGUGGAAUAACAUUUGGAAACGAAUGGUAAUACCGCAUAACAUUGUUGAAUCGCAUGAAUUAACAAUCAAAGGAGCAAUCCGCUGAAAGAUGGACUCGCGUCCGAUUAGCUAGAUGGCGAGGUAACGGCCCACCAUGGCGACGAUCGGUAGCCGGACUGAGAGGUUGAACGGCCACAUUGGGACUGAGACACGGCCCAGACUCCUACGGGAGGCAGCAGUGGGGAAUAUUGCACAAUGGGGGAAACCCUGAUGCAGCAACGCCGCGUGAAGGAAGACGGUCUUCGGAUUGUAAACUUUUGUUCUUAGUGAAGAAACAUGACGGUAGCUAAGGAGAAAGCCACGGCUAACUACGUG